Molecule: ribosomal RNA, 406 nt
Filed under: uncultured bacterium
Lineage: Bacteria
Description: partial 16S ribosomal RNA
Rfam family: Bacterial small subunit ribosomal RNA
Source: RNAcentral
AUUGAACGCUGGCGGCAGGCCUAACACAUUCAAGUCGCACGAGUGGCGGACGGGUGAGUAAUGUCUGGGACACUGCCUGAUGGAGGGGGAUAACUACUGGAAACGGUAGCUAAUACCGCAUACCAUCAGCUGUGCCCCGAUGGGAAUAGCUUGUUGGUGUGGUAACGGCCCACCAAGGCGACGAUCCCUAGCUGGUGUGAGAGGAUGACCAGCAACACGGGAAUGGAUACACGGUCCAGACUCGGACGGGAGGGAGCAGUGGGGAGUAUGGCACAAUGGGCGCAAGCCUGAUGCAGCCAUGGCGCGUGGAUGACGAAGGCCUUCGGGGUGUAAAGUAGUUGCAGCGGGGAGGCGUUACCCGCAGAAGAAGCACCGGCUAACUCCGUGCCAGCCGCCGCGGUAAUAC